CAUCCGCCACCAUGUUAGCCUUGCCCGGGUGGUAAAGUAUCGUCAAAUCAUAAUCCUUGAGUAGCUCCAACCAUCUGCGCUGCCUCAAGUUCAACUCCUUCUGAGUGAAAAGAUACUUUAAGCUCUUGUGAUCCGUAUAUACUUCACACCGCUCGCCAUAUAAGUAGUGGCGCCAUAGCUUCAAUCCAAAGACUACGGCCGCCAACUCCAAGUCGUGAGUGGGGUAAUUCCUUUUAUAAUCCUUCAAUUGGCGAGAAGCAUACGCGAUCACUUUCCCGUCCUGCAUCAAAACACAGCCCAAUCCAUUAAAGGAAGCAUCACUAUAAAUCACAUACCCUGCUCCAGUAGUCAGCAAGGUUAGGAUAGGGGCGGUCGUCAAUCGCUGCUUCAACUCUUGGAAGCUCCUUUCACACGCAUCAUUCCAAAUGAACUUGGUGCCCUUAUACGUGAGCCUCGUGAGGGGAGUAGAUAACUUUGCAAAUCCCUCAACGAACCGUCGAUAGUAGCCGGCCAAACCAAGAAAGCUCCGAAUCUCAGUCACGUUCGUCGGCCUCGGCCAAUCCUUGAUAGCCUCAAUUUUCCUUGGGUCCACGGCUAUGCCUGAUCCAGAAAUCACAUCGCCCAAAACGCCACCUCUCUAAGCCAAAAUUCACACUUUUUCAACUUGGCAUAGAGCUUCUUUUCCCGAAGCACUUGAAGUACAAGUCUCAAGUGCUCCUCGUGAUCCGCGUCACUCCGGGAAUACACUAAGAUGUUGUCGAUGAACACCACGACAAACCUGUCUAAAUAAGGCUUGAAAACACGGUUCAUCAAAUCCAUAAAAGCUGCCGGGGCAUUAGUAAGCCCAAACGGCAUAACAGUAAACUCGUAAUGUCCAUACCGUGUUCUAAAAGCCGUCCUUGAUACAUCCUCAGGUCUGAUCCUCAAUUGAUGAUAUCCCGACUGCAAGUCAAUCUUGGAAUAUACACAAGAUCCCUGGAGCUGAUCAAAUAGAUCAUCAAUCCUCGGUAAUGGAUACUUGUUCUUAAUCGUGACUUUAUUAAGUUCACGAUAGUCUACGCAUAGGCGAAGUGAUCCAUCCUUCUUCUUCACAAACAAAACCGGUGCUCCCCAAGGUGACACACUCGGUCACACAAAACCCUUAUCCAGAAGAUCCUGCAACUGUGCCUUCAGCUCCUUCAAUUCUGUUGGUGCCAUCCUAUAGGGUGCCUUUGAGAUCGGGGUAGUCCCGGGAACGAGAUCUACCACAAACUCAAUCUCCCUAUCAGGAGGCAUGCCUGGAAGCUCCGUCGGAAACACGUCUCCAAACUCCCGCACCACGGGGAUAUCCUCAAUCCUAGGGGCGUCAUCCACAUCCCGCAACACAACAGUAGCCAAAUAGGCUACGCAACCUCUACUAAUCAACUGCCUAGCUCGAGAGGAGCUAAUCGUCAUCGCAAACAGCGAACUCUGGCAUCCUCGGUACACAACCUCCGCCUGCCCUGGCUCUCUAAACGUCACCGUUCGAUCCUUGCAAUCGAUAGUGGCGUAGUACUUAGUCAACCAGUCCAUGCCCAACACUACAUCAAACUCCCCGAGUUUAUGCAACGCUAACAAGUCCACGGGCAUGAUCCAAUCUCCAACCCAAAUAGGGCAACUGGGGCAAAACUCCCGAAUGUCCAAAGAAUGAUCGGGUACAACAACUCGGCCCGGAUGUAACAAGGAUACAAGUGGGAUGCCAUGCAGCUCGGCAAACAGCCGAUCAAUGAAUGAAUGCGAUGCACCGGUAUCAAACAAAGCUCUAGCUCGAAUACCAUAAAGUAAAAUGAUACCUGCCCGACACAUCCGCAUGCCGCAGCCUCCGCGUACAUUGCGCCCGCUCGGAAACUGUUCGUGACCCCCUCCGCCGUCGCAAGAACUGGCGCGCCCCUGCCUGGUGAUGGGCAGAGAUGUCCCUGACUGGGACCUGGCAAGCUGGUGCAGAUCGCGCGAAGAUGGCCGCUGGGCAAAUGGACUCCUCGGCAGUCGACAUGGAAGUGGCCCUCCUGCACACAAGAAGCCCUCCCCUGCUGGCGUACACAUAGUCCGUGGAUAAUGAGGCGGGCACACAGAUCCGCAGCGAGGAGCCUGACGGGACGAUCGCGGUCCUUCUCGCUGAUAGCGAAGCCAUGUCUCGCGACUGGCUCCGGAUCUUGGCAGGGUGUCUUGGCGGCCUGCCGUGAAUGCGUCUGGCUCGCACCCUCAGCCGCGGCCUCUUGCCCUCCUUUGCUCCAAGACUCUCGCGACGCUCCGCAGAAUCGUCCCGCUCCUGCUCCAAAUCAAGGUCGAAUCCACAACUCCCGGUAGGUCUGGAGGUUGGAAGACAUGCACAACCGGCAGAUAGAAGGCCGCACCGCGCUCAGCAGAUGCGGGCCUUGUCCUCGUCGUCGCCUCCACAACAAACGUGUACAGAGUGUAGUAUCCGGGAGAAAUCACUCUCCGUACUCAGCACUGACGCCUCAUCUUGGCCAGCAGCUGCGCAUCCUGCUCCAUCUUACUCUUUGACGUGUAGAAAAGUGGCUGCCGCCAGAAGAAGCUUCCUUGAACUAAGUCCAAGGUAAUCGCUUGCCAGAUCCGGGUGUUGGGGUUGUCGCUGGAUAUUCAACCACCAACGGUUAGGCCUCGCUGUCAGAAAGUGGAGUGGCGAGCCAAACUCUUGUCCCGCAUCCUCCACAUAAGGUCUCGAACAGUUUCCCAUAUGGCAUCAACCACUUCUGACAAUCCAGUGGGUCGACGUUCUCAGAUCAAACACGUUCUCGACUGCACCUCCUGACUCACUGAGGCCGUCUCAUAAGCCCGAUCCGGUCGGCUCUCCUCGCCAUCACGGGGAGUAUGCGGCCACAUCGUUCGGUCUCCUGAACAGGUAGUGCGCCAACCACCUCCUCCCGAGGUGCGGUCGCCAGGCUGCACGUAAGAGCUGGCGCGGGGACUGCCGCCUCGGUGCGACGUCCACCACGGGUGGCUGGCGGUGUGGGAAACUUGGGUCUCCCUGAAACUGCCGCCUGCGAAGUAGGAGGUCUCAAGAUGCUCAUCCGCCCCUCCGCUGAGCACCUCAGCCGUCGCUGCGCCGCUGCCGUUUCUGCUGCCGGCAAACAGAUCAGUGAGGACGCGCAAGCUGGGCCUCAAGUCACGCGACCUCAUAGAUCCGGAAAUAGCGGAGGUCUCGCACCUCUCGGGGUGUGCCGCAUCAUCCGCCCCGCACUGGAGCGUUGUAAUCGCUAUUGUCACUACAAAACAUAAAAGCGGCAAGUUAGUAACCCACGCUAUCGUAACCCGCUCACUAUAGAUAAACCAAGAUCAUGCGAAAGUAAGAAUGUGCCUCCUUUACUAACUCACCGAUGUUUACGUUGUCGGCCGCCAACGUAACGGCUCGCGCGAGUUAGAAGCCAAUACACUCGAUCGAACUCUAACUUUUGUAGAUUAUCAAGACACACAAUCAGGAUACUUUUCGCUCACAACGUCAAACUAGCGCUCGUCUCUCACGCGCACUAUUUCCUAAUUAGUCCACCGCCUAAGGUUGCUAGUCCACUAAGACUUCAACUCUAGGCUUUGAUACCAAAUUAAUCUGUCACGCCUUGGACCGGCGGAUGCCCUCCGGUAGUCGUGCCGCACCGCCUAUGUCUACACAUAUUAAGGCGUCUACAAUAAAACGGAAGUCAAGAAAGUAAUAGUACAAUAGAGAUAGUAACAACUAAUGAUUUGAGCGAGUAAAGUUCUAUCAUCUACACCAAGGUAAAGAAACAAAGCUAGACAAUAAAAGAAACCAUAAGUAGUACACUAUCUGUCUCAAAAGUACAAAAAUGGUGGUCUCUAGUACACUGGUAAAACUCUCAACCUCUCGCAAAAAGAAAUAUAAAUCGAGAGGUAGACCACCUAGCAACUCGUCCUCGAAGGAAGCUAGCUUGAAGCAACUCCCUUCCCGCGAUCCCUGGCCUCACCCUGCAUGGAAGGCUCUAAAAAACACAUCGAGAAAAAGAGGGCGUGAGAACUAUAAAUUAUAGUUCCCAGUGGGCAAUUACUGACCUCAACUCAUUGCUCCACUAGGCCCCAAAAGAAAAAAGGGGGGGGGGGUAAAUCCAACAACUGGUAACGAGUAAAUUGCAUAUAUGAAAGCAUAAUUAAGAUGCUAAGCUACAAUUUGCAAUUAAACAUGGCAUUUAUAAUGCAACCUUACCUUGUCAUGGAUAAAAUAUAUCUAUAUGUCCCUAAGCAAUAUCUUGGUUUACUUUAUACAGAUAUGAAAGUGAUACUUUGUCAUGACUACAAUGCAUAUAAGGAUGCAAUAAACAACAUCUCCUAGCAUACUACAUGUAUGUAUGAAUACCCAAAUGUCCACAUCUAUGCUAGAAGCAAGCCCAAGUAAUUCAACUACUACUCUCUGUCUAGUAGUGAUUAUCACGCACUCAACAUUGUGUCGGUUUCCAUUUCCAAUUAGGGACCUACCCAAGGUAGUCCAGCUUGUGCCGCCUAAGUGCCUGUGGUAGCCCGACAUCCCUACUCUUGGAAUGUGUCUGUCCCACUCGACCCCGUAGGCUUCUCAACACCGCACGAGCGAACAAAAGUCGCGUAGGCUAACUCCGAAGUGCCGGCUUGUAGGGGGCGACCCUCACAAGCAUGUGCGAAUGAGCACAAAUGGCAAGCAAGCGUAGUCCAAGUCUCAAGUAUCCAAUCCUCAUGUCUCUAACAUGGUAUCGUAACUAGCAUCCCGAAGAUCUAGUCUAAGUCACAAGAUGAAGUUCCAACAUUCAUUACGCCUAGUGCCCCUUGAUGACACUUAGACAAUCUAAUGUUCAACAUAUACCCAAUCCCUCAAUGGCUCUAACCACUAGGUUCACACAUGUCCCGAGCUCAAUGCCGCUUGAUGACAUUAGCUCUCCAAUUCACAUACAUUCUAGUUCGAUAGCUCUAUAUGGCAAAUUUGUCAACUUUCAUGUCUCAAAUAAACUUUGGUUUAAAUGCAUGAAUCCAAUCUCAUUUACACUAUAGGAGCAUGAAACCACGUCUCAUAUAGAAUGCUAAAUGCAACUAUAGGCCUACCAAGCUACUCUCUACUACAUAGAGGUCCAAAAUUUCAUCAUAUAUAACAUAGGCCUUUUAAGCAUUCUAAAAUUCACAAUAAAUACAUAUAACAAGAAUAUGCAUGCCUUUUCAUUUAACGAUACUUAAUUAAGCACAAAUGAGAAUUUCUCAUUGUGUGGCUAGGUCAAACCCACCGAACCGUCGCGUAGGGCCUCGUUUCGCCGAACAAAGUUAUUCCCGAAUCUCAAAAUACCCUAAAAGGAUUGAGCAAAAAGAUACACGGGCAUUACGAUCAUCUUAUAAGAUCAAAUAUUAACCUAGAAGCAAAAGGGGUCAAAUCUCACCUCAAGAGAAGAAAUCUCUUCCAAAGCUCUAAAACAGAGCUAGAACCCUUCCACUCCAAGCCCAAAGAAGGUUCUAAACCAACUAAUUUAGCCCCAAAAGCCCUAGAUUCAAAAUACCCAAAAUAAGCCCUAAGUAUCAAAUCUAGGGUUUCAUCUUGAAUCCAUCAAUAAAAUUCAUAUUUAGAGGGAGAGAGCAAGUAGAUUACCUCUUAGAAGCUUCAAUCCAAGCUCUAAACUCUCCAAGUCCAAGGAUCUUCCCUCAACUUGGCUCCAAACCCAAGCUCCAAGCCUCAACCGAAGUGAGGAAGUCUCUAAUCAAGCAAAAGGGAGCUUAAUUUUGUAAAAAUCCAAGCAAAAUCAAGUAAAGGGAAUGGAAGAGUGUGGAGGGCUCCCUUACCCUUCUCCUUGCUGGUGCCAAGCUCAGGGAGAGCCCUAGGGGUGUGGGGGUACUAAUAGAGAUGCCACAAUCGCGAAAAACCCCCUGCAGUUCAAACUGCUCAGAAUCUACCAAAGUGUACCGGUACACGGGAAAGUGUACCGGUACAAAUCCUACGAAACUGCAAACCCGAGGCUCGGAUUUGAAAUUCGCCACAAGUGUAUCGGUACAGCCAUCAAAAGUGUACCGGUACAAAAUGUGUACCGGUACAGCCAUCGACCUGUCAUCGGUUACACUUCGUGCAGAAUGCAAUCCGAGGGUAGGCUAAGUCCAACUCUUUGGUGACCUUAGCGCUACAUAAAAUACCACAAUUCUCGGGAUGCGAGCCAUGGGUUGGAACACAGUCAACGACCCGCUAGAAAGUCUGGAAAAACUCGGGACACCGUCCAAACACUCGAACCUCGUAAUUUGCAAAGGUCCAGUGUGUCACAGGUACACAAUGCAAUUUUCAGACUUUGCACUGUUUCGGGUUCCGCAGAGUUCCGAAGCACUUUCUAAUCAACUAAACAUUGAUAAUAAUGAUUCUAAUGCCUAUAACGAAGUAUGAAUCACCAUAACAUGAAGUAAAGACUUUACCUGAGCAUCGUGAUUCAUGUCGUGAGUUAUCUCCGCCAUCUCCGAAGUCUUGGAUUUUUCAUUCUUCGACGAUAUACUCCGAAACCUUCAAGACUCCGACUAAAUCCACGAAACUUGCCAACAUACAAGACUUAACAGGCUCACUUAAUACGUCUCACCCAACCUUCCCGUACUACUCUAUAUUAACAUCCACCCAUUUGGCACCCCGGGGGUACAAAGGGGCUCAUCGAGGGGUACAUUUUUCCACUCCUCACACCCAUGGGAAAAUAGGCCACCGACUUAUGUCCGACACGCGUCCGGCUCAAUCUAUCGCAUAAGCGGCUAUGAUUAGUAAAAUCCUAUGUCCCCUUGGAUGCGUAGCACAAGUGAACCCACAGGUAGCCAACCGGAUGCCAAUUUACAAGUAAUGCCCAUCCCAAAGAAGGAAAAUCCUAUGUCGACGUCAUGCCCGACACAACAUUUACAGACUCUUUACAAACUCAAUGUUAUUGACAAAGUCAGGGCCAUUGACAACUAUAAAGGACCCUGACAGACUCCCCCACUCGAUUUCUCGACGCCCUCGUCGAGGUCUUCAGCUUGUACCUUCAUGCGUGCUUUGUUCGUCCCGACGUAUCCGCCGAGGUCUUCUGCUGGUACUCCCUGAUCCGGUCUUCUUCAUGCCAAAGUGCAUCUCACGCUCCCAACUGGCUUCAGCCUUUGGCAAGUUCUUCCACUGGACGAGGAACUCCCUUUCAGCUGCUCCACUACGUAGCUUCCGCACUCUGUCCGCCAGAAUCUUGUCAACUCGCCUCUCGACUGAGAAAAUUGUGGGGGUGGGGCGAGUUGAGAUGUUCCUUGAGGGAUCUUCGCGGUCGGCAUGGUAGGGCUUCAGGUAGCUCGUAUGGAAUACCGGGCGGAUUUUAAGCCACACCGGGAGCUGCACGCGGUAGGAGACCUUUCCCACCUUGCCCACGAUAGGGAAGGGGCCUUCAUACUUCCGGACCAAACCUUUGUGCACCUUCCGAAACACUCUCAAGGAUGCUGGUUGGAGCUUGACCAGCACGAGGUCGCCUUUGCUGUAGUAUCGAGGCCGCCUAUCCUUAUCGGCUCACUUCUUCAUAGUUCUUGCCGCCUUCUCCAAGUUGGCUCGGGCGAUCUCAGCAUUAUGAUGCCACUCCUUGGCAAGGUGGUAAGCUGAGGGGCUGCUGCCGGUAUACCCGAUGACCAAAGUAUGUGGUGUAGAAGGUUGCUAGCCGGUGAUGAUCUCGAAGGGGCUUUUGUUGGGCGCAGAGCUCCACUGCAGGUUGUACGAGAACUGGGCUACAUCAAGUAGCAUCACCCAGUCUCGUUGGUUGGCACUUACGAAGUGCCGAAGAUAUUCUUCCAACAGAGCAGUUAUUCUUUCAGUCUGGCCAUCAGUCUGGGGAUGCAGGCUGGUAGAGAAGUAUAGUUUGGAACCCAAGAGCUUGAAGAGCUCCGUCCAUAACCGCCCGAGGAAGCGAGAAUCCCUAUCACUGAUGAUGUUCUGUGGGACUCCCCAAUACUUCACUACAUGCUUCAAGAAUAACCGCGCCGUCUCCUCAGCAGUACAACUUAUGGGUGCGAGGAUGAAAGUGGCAUACUUCGAAAAUUGGUCCACUAUGACAAGAAUCGAAACGAACUCCCCCACCUUUGGCAGACUGGAGAUGAAGUCCAGGGAGACUCUCUCCCAUGGUCGCUCCGGCACUAGUAAAGGCCCCAACAGCCCACACGGCUUCUCUCGCUUUACCUUGUCUUGCUGGCAUGUGAGACAGGUGCGUACAUAUUCUUCGAUGUCCUCCCCCAUUUUUGGCCAAUAAUAGGCCUGCUCCAUAAGGGCCAGGGUUCAAUGUACACCUGGGUGGCCUGCCCAUAGAGUGUCAUGGCACUCAUGGAGCAGUUCUCUCCUCAGGUUCCCCGCCCGCGGCACGAACACUUGAUCCCCCUUUGUUUUGAUGAGGCCGUCCUGGAUCCAGAACCUUCGCGCCUUGCCAUCGUCAAUCAGUUGCUUGAGAGUCACUGUCAUGGGAUCCUUCUCCAACCCUUCACGGAUCCUCUCUUGCAAAGUCGCUUGUACUUGACUUUCCCUCUCAUUGGACAGAGUUUUAAGGGCAGCAAGUUCGGCCUUUCUAUUGAGAGCAUUAGCAACUUGGUAACAUCGUCCUGGCUUGUACUCCAAGACCAUGCCGAACUCUGCUAGGAAGUCUUGCCAUCUCGCCUGCUUCGAAGUGAGCAUCUUCUGAGUCUAAAAAUAACUCAGGGCGACGUUGUCCGUCUUGACCACGAAUCGGGAUCCAAGGAGAUAGUGCCUCCACACCCGGAGACAAUGCACCACUGCUGUCAUCUCCUUCUCAUGGGUCGCGUACCGCCGCUCGGUGUCAUUCAGCUUUCGGCUCUCGAAGGCUACAGGGUGGCCAUCUUGUACGAGUACCCCUCCAAUAGCAUAAUCCGAGGCAUCCGUAUGAACUUCGAAUGGGAGGGAGUGAUCAGGCAGGCGUAGUACUGGCUCCUCCAUCACCGCAACCUUCAAGUCAUCAAAGGCUUUCUAGCACUCGUCGGACCACCUCCAAGUCCGAUCCUUUCGCAGCAAGUCCGUCAAUGGCCCGGCCCUCCGUGAGUAGUUGCCAAUGAAUCGCCGGUAGUAGUUGACAAAUCCAAGGAACGAGCGUAAUUCCGUCACCCUUGUCGACGCUCUCCAUUCUUUUAUGGCACGAAUUUUCUCCUCAUCCAUUCCGAUUAGGCCACCACCCACUCGAUGGCCCAAGAACAUGAUCUCCUUUUGAGCGAAGUAACACUUCUCCUUCUUCACAUAGAGAGAGUGCUCCCUUAAUGUUCAAAAGAUAAUGCGGAGGUGCUCAACAUGUUCUUCCAAGGUCUUGCUGUACACGACAAUGUCAUCCAGAUAGAUCACCACGAACUUGUCCAGAUAGUCAUGAAACAGUUGGUUCAUCAAGGUGCAGAACGUAGCUGGGGCAUUCGUAAGACCAAAUGGCAUCACAAAGAAUUCAAACGCCCCAUACCUUGUGACGCAUGUUGUCUUUGCCUCGUCACCUUCCGCAAUCCGGACCUGCCAGUAACCCGAUCGCAAGUCCAUUUUGGAGAAGUACCGCGCCUUCCCCAAUUGAUCAAACAAAUCCGCAAUGAGUGGGAUUGGGUACUUAUUUUUGAUGGUCGCCUUGUUCAGAGCUCGAUAAUCCACGCAUAGCCGCAGACUGCCAUCAUGCUUUUUCUGGAAAAGUACAGGAGCUCCGAACGGUGCUUUCGAGCUGCGAAAAGACCGCCUUUAAGCAGCUCGUCUAGUUGCUUCCGAAGUUCCGCCAACUCCGGAGGAGACAUACGAUAAGGAGAGCGAGCCGAGGCCCUCGUGCCAGGCUCGAGCUCAAUCCGGUGGUCUACUGCUCGUCGGGGAGGUAAGGAUUUCGGUAGCUCUGGGGGCAUGACAUCCUUGAAUUCCUUCAAGCGCUUCGCCACUUUAGGUGGCGUCGGAGUCUCGUCCCCACUCCCAGUUUCCAACUUCAAAGCCGCCACAUAAGUCAGCUUGCCUCUCUUCACACCCUUCUUGAGCUGGAGCGCUGAAAUAUGUCGGGGAUCCGUUGUCAUCCGCACCACCAGAACGACACAUGGAGAUUCAUCUCCAAUCAUGCAGAGGGCAUCCAAGAAUGGCAUGGGUACCCCUCUAGACAUCUGGAGGAACUCCAUCCCGAGGAUAACUUGGAAAUCAUCCAGCGGCACGGACAUAAAAUUGGCUUUACCCGUCCAGAAGCCGAUGCUAACAGGCACUUCCUUCGCAAGACCCGCAAUAGGUUGGGCCUUCGAGUUCACUGCUUUUAUGCGACUUCUGCCCUUGCUCAGCGUAAGUCCGAGACGUUCAGCUUCACCCGUCGCAAUGAAGUUGUGAGUAGAACCUGUAUCCACCAUUGCCUUAGUUGUCUUGCCGUUGAGCUUGAUGUCCACAUACAUCAGCUCACUAUGCUUACUCUCCUUUGGAGAGGGGGAUUGCGCCUUCGGUAGUGGGGUCUUCUCUUUCUCCCCCACUUGACCUUGAGUGCAUUGAGCAACCAGAGUGCCCCCAUCCGGAUGCUUCCGGUCUCCGCUGCCUCUUCCUCUUCGUCGGAUUCGGGGUUCUUCGUCUGCACCGCAUUGAGGGACUUCCUUUGAGGGCACGAUUUGACAAAGUGUGGACCCCCGCAAAGGAAGCAACCCUCUUCAGGGCUCUUCAAAUUCUUCAGACUCUUUGACCCUGCCCUUUUUCGCUCCGUGGGUGCCGGUCCCUUACCCUUUGCCUUGUGGUUGUGGGUCUUGGGGUUGCUGCUCAUGGGUUUCUUCUUGGGGUGUUCCGGCGUCGAGUAGUCGGUCAGCCGCUCAGCCGCCCCCUGGGCCGCGGCUAAGUCCUUGAUAUUCUGGCGACGCAGUUCUGCCUGCGCCCAAGGCUUCAGUCCUUCGACGAAGUGAAAGAGUUUGUCUUUCUCGGACAUAUCUCUAAUAUCGAGCAUCAACACGGAGAAUUGCUUGACAUAGUCUCGAAUUGACCCCAUCUGUUGGAGCCUUCGCAAAUUCUGCCGCGCGAUAAACUCGACAUUCUCAGGAAGGAACUGAGCCUUUAACUCCUUUUUUAGGUCCUCCCAAGUGUCGAUGGUACAGCGACCUCCCUGAAUGUCCUCAUAUCGGGUCCUCCACCAUAAUUUGGCAUCCCCGUCGAGGUAUAUCGUCGCGAACGUGACCUUCCACUCCUCAUUGUCGGGUUGGACGACACGGAAGUACUGUUCCAUGUCAAAUAGAAAGUUCUCGAGCUCCUUUGCAUCACGAGCUCCACGAAAGCUUCGCCGGUUCCGGCACUCGAACACGCCCCGCAUGACCCCCACCUUGGGUUGCGGGAGGAGCAUUACUCAUGGCCCUUGUCAGCAGGUUCACUCGUGCGAACAAUUCGAUGGUCUGCUCCUUCAAGUGAUGGACCGCCUCCUUCGUAUUAUCCUGUAGCUCAGCCACUUGCUCGACGAGUUAAGCGAGCGUCACCUCCAGCAUGGUGACCCGCUCCUCAUGCACGGCCACCUUUGUCACUUUCUCGUCGAGUCGAUUAAGCUGGGCUUCCAAGUUGACAAGUCGUUCCCGAUUGCUCCUGUGCCUAUCUGAUUCGCCUUGUCCUUCGUUAUCCGCCGUGCCACAUGCUGCGUUAUCGAUGGUUGCACCACCGUACUUGUCUCUACUACAGGGGCUUUGCUCCGACCCAUGUCGUCUCCGUCGAUCCGGGCUCUGAUACCACUUGUCACGGGUCUAAUGACUUUUUGUCGAAAAGCCCGCGCAGCGCUCGUCUGUCACCUGUACAAACGAGCCAGCCAAACCGUCCCGAAGCACAACUUCGCAAAUUGGCAACGACCGAGAAUUGAGAGCAAGCACAUAAAGGAAUCCUGCAAAGUGGCACAAACAAAGAGUAUUUUAUUGAUAACGAAAAGUUGGACUACAAGCGAUAGGCACACGACUCGACUUGGUUGGGCAUGGCCGGUGAGGACAAAAUGAUCACCAAGACACUAUGCAUUUAGCGAAGUGGGCUCACUUAAUACGUCUCACCCAACCUUCCCGUACUGCCUUAUAUUAGCAUCCACCCAUUUGGCACCCCGGGGGUACAAAGGUGCUCACCGAGGGAUACGUUUUCCCACUUCGCACACCUAUGGGAAAAUAGGCCGCCGACUCAUGUCCAACACGCGUCCGGCUCAAUCCGUCACAUAAGCGGCCAUCGUUAGUGAAAACCUAUGUCCCCUUGGAUGCGUAGCACAAGUGAACCCAUGGGUAGCCAACCGGAUGCCAAUUUACAAGCAAUCCCAUCCCAAAGAAGGAAAAUCCUAUGUCGACGUCGUGCCUGACACAACAUUUACAGACUCUUUACAAACUCAAUGUUAUUGACAAAGUUAGGGCCAUUGACAACGAGAAAGGACCCUGACACUACGGCAUCCCAUUUCGGCGCCCAAUCCCGCAAAGGCGAGCUUAUGUCGCGAUGGCUAUCUCCGGAGUGCCAGCUUGUGGGGAGCGACCCUCACAAGCAUGUGCGAAUGAGCACAAUGGCAAGAAAGCGUAAUCAUCCAUCUCAAGUCUAAUGUCAUCAUAUCUAAAACAUGGAAUAAAGGCUAAUGUCCCAAUGGCCUAUCACUAUGUCACCAAGUGAGAGUUUGUUCGUUUACUAAGUUGAAUGCCACUUUAUGACAUUUAUGUCCACUAUGUCACGCAUGAGUUCUAUGUCUAAGAGUAUAUCAUACUUGUCAUUUUUACUAUAUGAAACAUAAUUUUAAGCCAUAUAGAAAAAUGCUAUUCACUUGCAUGAAUACUAUAUACAAAUCUCCCUGCUACAUAGAGGUAAUAUUUCAUAACACAUCACGCAUGCAUUUUAAGCAUUCUAAAAUUCACAUAUUCUUUAUCUAGCAUGAAUAUGCAUGAAUUCUAUAUUUAUGACAAGAAAAAUAACAUAGGGGGUGUUCAACCAUUUCGGUGAGGUCAAACCCACUAAGAACUCCUCGAAUCCCCUUCGUUUGUGCUAACGAAGAUGUCCACUAGAAGGUUAGACGUAAUGAACGAACACCUUACGAGUUCAUCUUUAACCAACUCAAGAAAAUGGCAAAACUCACCUAAAUGUUGGGAAAAACCUCUCAAAUCCCAAAUGGAAACUAGAGCACUUCUAAACCAAGCUAGAGGAAGGUUCUAAACCAAUCAAUUGAGCUCCAAAAGCUACGAAUCAAAAAUUUCCAAAUAAACCCUAGAUUUCUCAUUCUAGGUUUCAACAUGAAGAAAUCCACCAAAACUUGAUCUAAUGAGAAGAUCAAAACCACUAACCUCUCUUGAAGUCUUGAACCUAGCAAGAAAGGUGCUAGGGUUGAAGUUCCUUCCCAAACAAGCUCCAAUACUUCUCCAAUGGUGGAAAGUCAUCAAAAUGCCAAAAAGAAGCAAAAAGGGUGAUUAAUCCACCAAAACCCAAGCAAAAUGCAACCAAAACCAAAAAGUAGAAGAGUAGGAGCUCCCUACCUAUUACUCCUGUGUUUCUAAGCUUAGGAAACCGAGCAAGGGGCGUGGGGUAUCUUAUAGUGUUGCUACAAUUCCAAAAACACCCCUUAAAAAUAAGCAGUUCUCAUCUGCACUCCGUACCGGUACGUGGGAAAGAGUACCGGUAUCAAGCAGCAGCCCGCGUAAACCCGAGCCUCGGGUUGGCGAGAAAACGCACUGGGUACUGGUACCAGCCCGAUGAUGUACCGGUACCAGGUCCAGUACCAGUACGGGGCCAAUGCAGUACCGGUACUCUGCCCAGCAGAGUCAAACCAGAGAGCAAACCACAUACCCUGCUCCAGCAACGGGCAGGGUUAGGAUCGGGGCGGUCGUCAAUCUUUGCUUCAACUCUUGGAAGCUCCUCUCACACGCAUCGUUCCAAAUGAACUUGACGCUUAAAUGAACUUGACGCCUUUAUGCGUGGCCUCGUGAGGGGAGAAGAUAGCUUAGCAAACCCCUCGACAAAUCUCCGGUAGUAGCCGGCGAAUCCAAGAAAGCUCCGUAUCUCCGUGACGCUUGUUGGUCUCGGCUAAUCCUUGAUAGCCUCAAUUUUAUUAGGAUCCACGGCUAUACCCGAUCCCGAAAUCAAAUGUCCAAGGAGUGCUACUUCUCGAAGCCAAAAUUCACACUUUCUCAACUUGGCAUAAAGCUCUUUUUCCCGAAGUAUUUGAAGUACAAGCUUCAAAUGUUUCUCGUGAUCUGCAUCACUUCAGGAGUAAACCAAGAUGUCGUCGAUGAGCACGACGACGAAUCUGUCUAGGUAAGGCUUAAAAAUAUGGUUCAUUAGAUCCAUAAAAGCUGCCGGGAUAUUAGUGAGCUCGAACGGCAUAACUGUGAACUCAUAAUAUCCAUACCGUGUUCUAAAAGCCGUCAUCGAUACAUCCUUGGGUUUGAUCUUUAACUGGUGGUAUUCCGACUGCAAGUCUAUCUUGGAAUACACACUUGAUCCCUGAAGCUGAUCAAAUAAGUUAUCGAUCCUCGGCAACGGAUACUUAUUCUUGAUCGUGACUUUAUUAAGUUCACGAUAAUCUACACAUAGGCGCAGUGAUCUGUCCUUCUUCUCGACGAACAAAACUGGUGCUUCCUAAGGUGAGACGCUUGGUCGAAUGAAGCCUUUGUCCAGAAAAUUCUGCAGUUGUGCCCUCAGCUCCUUCAGCUCUGCCGGUGCCAUCCUAUAGGGCGCCUUGCAGAUUGGGGUAGUCCCAGGGACGAGAUCUACCACAAACUCAAUCUCCCUAUCAAGUGGCAUACCCGGUAGCUCAGCUAGAAACACAUCCUGAAACUCCCGCACCACCGGGAUAUCCUCAAUCCUAGGGGUGUCAUCCUCACCCCUCGGUACAACACUAGCCAGAUAGGCUAUGCAACCCAUAUGAUCAGCUGCAUAGCUCGAGACGAGCUGAUCGUCAGCGCAAAUAGAGAACUCUGGCAUCCCCUAAACACCACCUCAGCCUGCCCUGAUUUUUUGAAAGUAACCGCUCGAUUCUUACAAUCGAUGGUGGCAUAGUACUUGGUCAACUAGUCCAUACCCAAGACAACAUCAAACUCCCCCAGCUUGCGCAGGGCUAGCAAAUCCACGGGCAUAAUCAAGUCUCCUACCCGAAUAGGGCAACUGGGACAAUAAUCUCUAAUAUCCAAAAUAUGGUAGGGUACAACAACAUGUCCCGGAUGUAACAAAGUAACCAACGAGAUGCCAUGCAACUCGGCAAACAGCCGAUCUAUGAAUGAAUGUGAUGCACCGGUAUCAAACAAUGCACAAACUCUAAUGCCAUUAAGUAAAAUGAUACCCGCGACUACAUCCUCGGCUGCUGCCGCCUCCUCGGUUUAAGUGGCAUGCAUACGCCCACUCGGGGCCUGUCGAGAUCCCUCGCUCUGACGCUGGACGAAUGACCGUCCAGGCUGAUACUGUGCCGAUGGAGUCCUCUGGCUGGCGGCUGGUAGAGCCGGUGUCGAUGCAGUCGAUGGUGCCGGUGAUGAACCCUUCGGGCACUCGGUCCGGAAGUGGCCCUCCUGGCCACUCAGAAAACACCUCCCUCCCCGCUUCGAGCACUGCUGUGGAAUAUGGGGACCUCCACAGAUCACGCACUGGGGAGGUCGGCGUCGAUCAGAACCUCCUUGCUGCGCUGCCGAGCCGCACCCACGCUGCUGGCUCCUAGGGUGCUUCGGCGGUCUCAUAAAGUGCGUCUGGCUCGCACUCUCAGCCGCGGGCCUCUUGCCCUUACCCUUGUCCAUGCCUUCUCGCCGCUCCUGAAUAUCCGCCGCGCCGCUCUCCACUAUGAGUGCGCGGUUCACCACCUCCCGGUAGGUUUAAAGGUUAGAGGAUUGCAGAAACCGGAAGAUCGACGGUCGCAAUCCACACUCGAAGAUGCGAGCCUUGUCCUCGUCGUCCCGCAGGACGAAAGGCACACAGUGUAUGAGCUGAGAAAACUCCCUCUCAAACUCGGUUACGGUUCGGUCUCCCUAGCGCAAAUUGUGCAAGUCCUGCUCCAUCUUCUUCUUGACACUGUCAGGGAAGUAGUGCGCCAAAAGAAACUCCUUGAACUUCUUUUAAGUAAUGGCCGCAAGGUCGGUGUUGGGGUUCUCCUGGAUGUCCAACCACCAAUGGUAGGCCUCGCCGUCAAAGUGGUGAGUGGCGAGCCAAACUCGAUCCCUCUCCUCCACGAAGGUGUCACGGAAGAGCUUCUCUGUGUGCAUCAACCACUUCUCCACGAUCCAAUGGUUGACCUUCUCUACGUCGAAGAUCCAGGGAUUGUACCUCCUGAACUCAUUGAGGCGAUUCAUGAGCCGGUUCGCUCUGCUCUCUCAACUAAUGUGGAAAAAACUGCCUCCGCCGGAGGCACCUGAGCUGGUGGUGCCACCACAACCUCCUCCCGAGAUGCGACCGCAGGUGUCGUCCGAGAUGUGUCCAGGACGGGGGACGACACCCUGGGUGCGACCACAUCCACAGGCGCGGGUGGUGUAGGAAUCUGAGCCUCCCUAACCGCCGCCUGCUGCAGUAAAAGGUCCUUCAAGCGCUUCAUCCGCUCCUCCUGUUGGCGCGCUGCCUCUGUCUACUGUCGGGCCAUCUCCGCCUGCUGAGUCACCAAGUCGGUGACGGCCGCAAGCUGGCUCCUCAACUCACGGACCUCGUCGGAUCUAGAGGUAACGGAGGUCUCGACCUCCUCAUGGUGUGCUGCAUUAUCCGCUCCAGCAGCUUGAGAGCGUGUUAUCGGCAUCUCACUACAACAUCAUAAAAGCGGAAGUUAUUAAAACGCACGCUAUCGAAUCCCCGCUCAAGUAAAUAAUACCCAAAUCAUGCGAAAGUCAGGAAGUGUUCUUCACUACUAACUCUCGAUGUUACGUUGUCGGCGGCCAACGUAACCCUCCGCGAAGUUAGAAGCCAUACACUUCGAUUAAAUUCCAACUUUUUAGAGUUAUAUUACAAUCCAAUCGUGAUACUUUCAUUUACAAGUCAAAUAGACCUCGUCUCUCACGAGCCUAUUUCCUAUAGUCCAACCGGCCUAAGGUUUGUUAGGUCCACUAAGACUUAACCCUAGGCUCUGAUACCAAAUUAAUCUGUCAUGCCCUGGGACCCAGCAGUAACCCGCCUGGCACAUGCCCAGACCCGCCAUACGUCUAAAACAUAUAAGGCGUCUACAAUAAAACGAUAAAUAAAGCAAGAUAAAAGAACAUCUAGGAGUAUUAGUGGAAAGUACAACUAGAAUCAACAACAAAGGAAUAGACAACAGGCUAAAACCCACUAAGAAAAGAACCACAAAGUAGUAAACCAUAAGGAAAAACAAUAACAAAUCCGAAGCACCAAUGCUAAGAGUAAUACAUAGGUGGUCUCUAUACAUGGAUACAAAACCUCUCUCUCUCUGCAAAAACAAAAGAGAGAAAAACCACCUAAGCAGAAAGUAAAUCCUUGCUAUCUAGCUACGCGACCCCUUUGCCACGAUCCCGUGCCUCCACUGGUGCUGAAGGCUCUGAAAAAAAAUAUAAAACAGAGGGCGUGAGAACUAUUAAAUAAUAGUUUCCAGUGGGUAAUUACUGUCACGACCCGUUACCACCCGCCUAUUUGGCCGAGGUCGCGGCGCCGCCGACAGACCGCCGAACGGACAAAGUUUCCUCUGUACGUCCUAGGCGUCGCAAUCGAUACAAGUGCAAGAAGUUCCAACCAGGAACAGUAUUCAAGCAAGAUUGCAUAAGGAAGGUAUCAAACAACAUAACACAUCCUAUGUUAUUACAAACAUUCGUCACAGUUUUCAUUUUACAUUACAUUCAACUUCCAAAUGCAAUUAAGUUAUUACAAUUAUUAUUACAAGUUUGAUACAUUGUGUUCUUUUCCCUUUUUCUUAUACCCUAGACUAUGCCGACUCGGGGUACGGCUAUCUCUGGUCUCUGGGGUAGGGCGCUAUCUAUGGAGCUACGCCGUUGCCUCGCGCCGCCGCGUUGCUAACGUGCGAACCUGUAAUACCCCAAAACAACGUUGGGUGAGAACCAACUCCAUGAUUCCCAGUGGGUACGACCACCCAAGGGAAAAGCUCGACCGAUAGGUUCAAGGAGGCACUGCAAUCAUGUUAGUCCAAAACAUCUACAGAUAUAUAUAUCGCAAUGUAAUUAUGCAACUAACAGAUAACAUGCCUCGCAAUAUGCAAUAUGAAUAUUAUGCAACUAUGCAACUGUAUAAACAACUAGUAGAUAUGUUGAUUCUACAUUCACUUUGCUAACUUCAGCUCAUUUCAUUCAAUUCUAAGGUAUCUAUUAUCUUAGGUUCUCAACUCAAGUUCAACUUUGCUUCUAAGGUCUCUUUUACCUUAGGUUCUUGCCUCAAUCACUGGCUUAUAAGGUUUCCAUUAACUUAAUCAAGCUAACCACCCGAUUCGGCCUCGAGUCAAUCAUUCGCCGAUAGUCCGGGCACUAGCUGCAACUCAGCCUGGCUGCCGUCACAGCCUACCGCAAAUCUGACUUAACCAUCUGGCGGCGAACUCAUCGCAUCGAAUCCAACAACAACUAAAGUCAUGAUUUAGCCAUCUGGCGGCGAACUUAUCACACCCCACCCAACAAUGGUUCAAGUCGUGACUUAGUCAUCUGGCAGCGACCACAUCGCUCUUACCAAGGAAGGUUCAAGUCAAUCUAGGCGGCAUCAUCCGAUAAGGUAAUGGGCGAGGAGAACCACACAUACCCAAUUCCAGCUUAUUCUCAUGGCACCCCGGGUGAGGAGAACCACACAUACCCGUUGAAUCACUGCCAGGCGAGAAGAACCACACAUACCUGCAGUUAUGAUUCCUUUGCCAUCUCUUUUACCACGAUUUCCACCGCUUCUUUUGCGGCCACAUCACUAGGGAUUCCGGAAUCCAUUUCACAUAGCUCAAGGGUUGGCCUCAAACCCUAUGUUAUUGACCUAUUUAGGUCCAAUGUCCUUUUUACCCUAGGUCCAACUGACUCUAGGUUCAAUGCCUCUAUCACAUAACCUAGGUUUAUUUUAACUCUAGGUUCAAUCCAUAACUUAUGUUCAUGACACUAGGUUAAUGCCACAUACCUAGAUUUAGUUAACUCUAGGUUCAUUCUCAACCUAUGUUCUUUAACACUAGGUUAGAUGCCAUUCGACCUAUGUUUAGUAACACUAGGUUCAUUGUCAUUCAUGUUCAACCUAUGUUUAAUACACUAGGUUAAGUGCCACUCGAUCUAUUCGACAUCCUAAUUGUCCACAUCGAAUUCAAUAGAUAUCCACAUUUUAUCUAGCAUGCAUUAUAUGAUGCCAGCAUGCAUAUUCUUUCUAACAUGAUCUACAACAUGUUAACAUUCAUAUCUAUCUCUCAUGAUCUCUUAAUGCCAUUAUGCAUUUACCAUCUAGAGCUUGCAUUUAACAAUUAGAACAUAUUCAUAAUGUGGUAACAUGCAUAUAAACUAGCAUUUUCUCAUCAUGUCAUCAUACAUGUGUUAACUAGCAUAUUUACAUUAUGUCAUUAACAUGCAUUCUUUACAAUAUGCUCACAUGUAUUAUUUAGCAUUAUCUACAUGCAUCAUCUAGCAUUUCUAUAACAUGCUCAUCGUGCAUUCUAUGGUAGUCAUAGCAUAGCAAUUAACAUGCAUUCACCUAGCAUUUAACCCUUGCAUUCAUCUACCAUUUAUAUGCAUCAACAUGGAUUUUUAAUUUUCUUAGACAUAAGGGCGACCUAGUCGCUUUGGUAAGCACAACCCACCUCUUAACGCGUUCCGAUUGCUUGUUGAUACUUGCAAUCGGCCUCCCGUGGCACCUGUUGCCCGGUUUGGCCCGAACUCUUGCACGACCACCCGAACGGCCACCAAUCCGCGAUACGUCUGUUCUGGAGUUUAUUCUUCAAUACAACGAUGCUCCAGAUCCGUUUUCGUGAUUUUUGGGGGUCUAUCCCGCGUGCUGCGGCUAUCUGUACCAAAACAGACCGUUUCGUCAGUAUCUUUACAACGGCUCGACGAAUACUCAAACCAAGUGCACGAAUGCGUUCGGGGACCUAACAAUUAGGUUUACAAAGGGUCAAUCGAGAUCAAACCCUCAUAUUUCCAAAACCCCCAAAAUUGGAGCCCUAGAUGCAAUUAUUGCUAAAUACUCCAAAUUAAUCAAAGAUUUAGACAAUAAUCAUCUCAUUAGCAUCCUAGGAUUCCAAAAAUAUCAUUUCUAGAGAUCAAAACCCAUAUUCUAGAGUUCUACCAUUAAUGAGCAUCAAAGCUUAGCUCUCAAGCUCCUCCAAUGGUGAAGAAGGAGAUGAAGAAGAUGAUGGCCCACCUUCUUUGCUUCUUCUCCACCAAUCCCUCCUCCAAGAUCCACCUUUUUAGAGAGAGAGAAAGAGGGUUUAGAGAGAGAGAGUGUGUGUGUGUGGGUGAGAGAAAUGAGAGGGGAGAGCUCCAACCCCAUUCUAUACACCCUCAUAAUGCCAAAAUUGCAUAUAAACCCCUCAACUUUACCUCUCUUGCAACAGCCCGAACUGGGCAUUUUCGGGCUUCAGGGACCGGUCCUUGCGAUGAGGAACCGGUCCUGAGAGACCGGUCCCCGAAGGUCCAGAAAUCAGCCUUCAAGGACUUCGCCAAAUUUUCAGCAUUUUCGCCCGUUUUCGUCCGUUUUCGCUCGUUUGACCUCCGAUUCUCCUCAAAUCGAACCGAGACUCUCCAAACAUGUUUUCAAUCAUGUUUUUAUCAUAUUUUCAUCCACGCUAAUGCCGGAUUUAGCUCAUGGUCCAAUAUAGCCUUUCGGAUUCCGUUUUCGCGCCUACGCGCACCGAAACGCACGAUUGCUCCCGAACUUCACCGAACUUCACCGGAACCAUUCAAAUGGCUCUCCAACCAAAUGUACACCGUAACUUCAUGAUUUUAGAAGUCCGGUACCUUACAAUUACUGACUUCAGUGAAAAGCACCACUAGGCCCAAGAACUAAGAAAGUAAGUACGAAUCGAUAAGCAAUAUGAAUAACAUGUAUUUAAACAUGAAUACUUACUAUACCAUGAUAUCUCUACUUAGCAUGAAUUUGCAUAAGUAUGAUACUAUUCUAACAUGUAUAUGCAUGAAUAUACAACCAACAUGAUAUCCACAAUGUAAUUAGUAAGAUGUCAUUGUUUACUAUUCUAGUCAAUGUCCACUUGGCAUGUUACGUCACUAAAAUUUUAAUCCUGUAGGACCUACCCGUAGGUAGUCCGGCUGCCUAAUGGCACCGUGGUAGUCAACAUCCCCACUCUAGAAAUGAGUCUCCCCCAGGCAUCCCAUUUCGGCGCCCAAUCCCGCACGGGCGAGCAUGUGUCACUAUGGUUAUCUCCGGAGUGUCGGUUUGUGGGGCGCGACCCUCACAAGCAUGUGCGAAUGAGCACAAUGGCAAGCAAGCGUAAAAGUCCGUCUCAAGUCUCAAGUCAUCAUGGCUAAAAUAUGGAAUGUAGCAAAUGUCUCAAUGGCCUAUCAGUAUGUCAUUAUGUCUAAAACAUGGAAUAUAGUCGAUGUCCAAAUGGCCUGUCACUAUGUCUCUAUGUUACAGUUUCACAGUUUACUAAGUCGAGUGCCCCUUUAUGGCACUUUUGUCUAUUAAGUCCAGGCAUGAGUUUAAUGUUCAGGAGUACAUAAUUCUAGUCAUUUUUCUCAUAUGAGACAUGUUUCCAACUUUCAAUAAAGAAUACUUUUCACAUGGAUGCAUAAUGCACAUAUGGUAGAGUUGAAUUUUCAUGAUAUAUAACACAUGUAUUUUAUGUAUUCUAAAAUUCAUAAAAAUCCUAUCUAGCAUGAAUAUGCAUGCAUUUCGAUGAAAUGACAAGUACAGAUCACAUAGGAGACAUUUCUCCCGUAUUCCAUGAAGUCAAACCCACCGUGACUCUUGCAACCCUUCGUUCGAGCCGACGAAGGUGCCUACUACUCUCCUAGCACUCUAAAGGUAUAUAAAAGAGAGAUACAUGAACGUUACGAAUAAUCCAUAGCUCAAACAUUAAGCACCUCAAGCAAAGGUGAAAAACUCACCGAAUGCGAAGAAACCGCUCUCGAUCUCCAAAUGGGAGGUAGAGGCCUUCCAAACCAACCUAAACCAAGGUUCUAAACCAAUCAAUUUGGUUCGACUAGCAUUUAAUCCAAAAUCUCCAAAAUAAACCCUAAGUUCCAUUUCUAGGAUUUCAUUUAGUAAAAGCUACUAAAACAAGAAUCAAAGAGAGGAUUAAGCUCACUAACCUCACAAGAGCCCCAAAUUAAGCUUGCAAGAGAGCUAGGGUUGAAGUCCUUCCACUAUCAAGCUCCUAGCCAAAGCUCCAAAGCUCCUUCUAUGGUGGAAGUGCCACCAAGAUGCAAAAGAGACAAAAUGAGGUGAUUAAUCCUCAAAAAUCUCAACCCAAACCAAAGAAAAUCAAAAGAGGGAGUGGAGGGGGUUCCUUACCUUCAUCUCCUCUGAUUUCAGGCUCAAAAGACCAUAGGGGGCAUGGGGGUGUAGUUAUAGAAGAGCACAAUUGCAAAAACACCCCUGCAAAGUAGCCAUUUCGAAAUCUGUCAAAGUGUAGCGAUACACGGGAAACUAUACCGGUACAAAUCCCCCGAACAUACAAACCCGAGCCUCGGGUUCGCCAUUCACCACAUUUGUAUCGGUACAACCAUCAAGGUGUAACCGGUACACUUUCUAUACCGGUACAACCAUCAAGGUGUACCGGUACACAAUUCUGCAGAAAGCAACCCGAGAGCAGCCUAAGUCCUCCACUUUGGUGACCUUAGCGCUACUUUAAAUACCUCAAUUCUCGGGAUACGAGGCAUGGGUCGGAGCACUGUCAACGGCCCUCUAGAAUAUCUGGAAAAACUCGGAACACUGCUCAAACACUCGAACCUCGCAAUUUGCAAAGGUCCAGUAUGUUACAAUUCACCCUCUCAUUAACCCUCAGCUGGCUGAGGAUGGAGUGAGAGAAGAGGUAAGUUUUUUCUCUUCCUCUCUUGAUUUUCUUCUCCAAAUCCUUGCAUUUUUCGGUUUUGAUCUCUUUUUUCUUCCUCUCAACCAUAAAUGCUUGCACCUUAGAGCUUGGAGUUGAUGAAAGGAGCUUGUUGGUGGAUCAAACUUCAACCUUAGCACUUCAUGACUUGAGUUGAAGCUUGUUUAGAGGUUAGUAUUUUUCUCAUGUUCUCUAUUUAAGAGACUUGCAAGAGCUUUGGGAGAAAACCUAAUUUUUGGAAAACUAGGAUUUAUUUUGGGAUUUUCUAAUUUUGAGCUUUUGGGAUGAGAUUGAUGAGUGUAGAACACUCUUAUAGGUUGGAUUUCAAGCUUCUUAGCUUCGAUUUGGACUUUGGACAAGUUCUACUUGAUCAAAGGUAAUUUUCACCUAUUUUAUGCUUAUUUUUUGGUGAAUUUUGUGGUUAGCAUUUUAGAAGCUUGUAACCCUUUGAAAAUUUUUCAUAGGGUGCUCGGAGACUUGUGGACAACUUCGUUUGGAGAAACGAAUAAGUUCGGAGGUGAUUCAGUGGGUUUGACCUUACCGAAAUGGGUGAACUCCCUCUAUGUCUCCUAUAAUGUUAUAGGGUUUAAAUUGUUGCAUAAUCGAUCAUGCCAUUCAUGUCAUGAUAGAAUUUUCGGAUACUUGAUAUACAUAUAUUAUGUAUGAUAUUUUGCAUACUCUAUGUAGUAGAGACAAUUUGACAUAGGUGAAGUUGUAAUACUUUAUUUAGUAGAGGUGAAGUUGUCAUACUCUAUCUAGUAGAGGACAUUUUGCAUGCUCCAUGUGGUAGAGAGCAUUUGAUAAAAUCAUGUAUAUUAUACCUAUAUAAUCGUAGUAUGAUGACUAGUUCCUCUUAUGUAUAUAUAGGAAUACAUGCUAGAGAUGAAUAAAAGUAUUAUAUGAGACACUAUAUAGUUAGUGUAAGUGUUGGAUUCACACUCGUAAGGCAACUUGUAAUAUACCGAAACUUCAGUAGAGUAUAUCGAACUUUAGUCAAAUUGACCAAAGUGUGUGAGAGAAAUGAACUUUAGUCAAAUUGACAAAGUCCAAGUGACAUUCCAACAAUAUUGGAAGGGUUAGAGUUGAGUUUCAAGGGUUUUAGCAUUACUCGGCGUGAAUUGGAGUCGAAACAAUGCAAAACUGCAGUCUGAAGCAUUGUUAAUCGGUAAAGCAUCAGGGGAGUAUCGGUACCAGGCAGGCACCUGAGAGUAGCAGCUCUCGGGUUUGGCCUUUAUCAAGCUGUUAAUCGGUGACUAAAUCAGGUAGUACCGGUACCCUGCGCCAACCCGAGAAAUAGUAGCUCUCGGGUUUGGGCAGUUGAACAGGGGCGUACCGGUGACGCCCACCCGCGUACCGGUGCGUAGUGCUGCGAAACAGCAGGUUGGUCUGCUGCAAAUAAUAAGAAGUGGAGGGUUUGGUUGCAAUUGUAACAGCUUAUAAAACCCCUCACCCCUCUCCUCUCUUGUUCACAGCAGUGAACCCACCAUCCUCUCUCAUUUCUCUCUCCCUCUCUUCCUCUAGGAGCUCUUCCCCAAGGUGAAAGGAGGAGAUCUAGAGGAGGAUUUUGAGGAGAUUUAAAGUUUUGAAGGCUUUGGAGCUCACCUACAAGGAGAAGCUUGGUGAGCUUUUGGGCUAAGGUGAGGUUUUAUGUAAGAACUAGGCUAGGGUUUGGUUUUAUACCCUAUAACACUUGGAUUUGAUCUUCUUGCAAGAUUAGAAACCCUGUAGAAACCAUGGAACUUCAUGAAAUCCAUGUUUCUUCAUGUGCUCUCAUGGUAGUAUUCUAGGGUUAGUUCAAAUGCCCUAAGAAUGAUUUAGAUUAGUUCUAGAUGAGUUUCUAGAUGAUGAUUAAGCUUGCUUUUGCUUGUCUUAGAGAUCAAAAUGGUGUAUUGGGCAAAUGAGAUUAUUAGGGCACCAAAAUUUGAGACUUUUGCCCUAGGUUGGUUUAAAGGUAAAUUGACCUUCUAGAAACCAAAUUAGGAAUAUUUUCAAUUCGUUGGUGGACUCGGUUCGCCGAUCCGACGAGCCUACGAAAAGAUAUUGAGAAAAAGCCUAAUUUGGCUUCAUUGUGCCACAGGCGAGAGAAUAGGCGCCCAAAAAUUACGAAACUUGAACCGUAGCACCUUUACAACUAUACGAGGUGGGUGGUACUUUCCGAAAUCGAUGAAUUUUCUUUUAUGUCUAAAGUGUCAUUUUUGAGCAUAUGUGACUAUAGCUUUUUCAUGCAUUGUAGGGUGAUUGAGAUUAUGUUGGUAUGUGUUGUUGCAUGUUGUGAGUACAAAUGCAUAUGAGAUGAUGGUAAAAUAUUGAGAACAUGUAAAAUCCUAUGUACGCAUGAAUAGUGACAAAUACCUAGAUGAGGUAAAUAACUAAAUGACAUUAUGACAUAUGAAUUGUGUGGCAUUAGCAAACAAAUGAAUGCUAGAAAUUGGACUCUUAGUUGAGUGGCAUCAAUGAGUUUUGAAUGCUAGAGUGAACACUUAGUGUGGCAUUAAUGAGAAUAAUGAAUGCAUGAAAAUGAGUUAAAGAACACUUAGUGUGUGUGUGGCAUCAUGAAAGAAAAAGAAUGCAAGUAAAAUGAGAUAGCUGACAUUAUGACAUAACAACCUUAUAGUUAAGGGUCAUAUGAGUAUUGCAUCCUUAUAGUUAAGAAUUGGAUUGAACUUGGAAUCCUUAUAGUUAAGGAUUGAUCAUACUCACCUAUAAGUCUUGGCUUGAGGGCGGUCGCACCCCCUCGAGCGAUGAGCUCCGGAGUAGUCAUCAUUGGGUCAUAGUAGUCUCCCCAGAAGACGGUCCCAUCGGGUCGCAGUAGUCUUCCCGAUAAUUGGGAUUAUGAGUUGGUGAGUUGUAGGCAAGCCUACGGGUUGGCCAUGAGAUUGGGUAAUGAAAAAGUGCUCUUGCAUUCAUUAUGAGCAUUCUAUUGAGCAUAUUAUUGAUUAUAUCUUGUUCAGUCAUAUUAGCUGCAUUUAUUUAGUUGGUUACUAUCUAUCUAUUCUUCUAUUAUGCCUUAUUUACACCUAGUAGGAAAGUCGGCGAGGUCGGCGGUUGAACCCAUUGGAAAUUUUGUUGUAGUUCUCACCCACUAUUUCCACAGAGCCGGGACCGAGUGAGCUGGCCGACGAUCGCGGUAAAGGUAUGGCGCCAUAGACAGAGACCGCCCGAGUUGGUUUCAUUUUGCUUAGUUGCAUAUCCUAUAUAUAUGUCAUCUUUUGUCUUUGAUGAUGUUAGCAUUAUGAACAUGGUAAAUGUUGUAAAGAGAGCUUAUGGUUAAAUAUAAAAAGCUUAUAUUUUGGAAGAAAUGUUAUGUUCAUUUUGUGACCAUGUGAUGUAUAAAAGAAAUAAUGAAAUGAAUGUAAAGGGAUUUAGAUGUUGAAUGCAUGUAUGUAGUUGAAAGUUAAUCAUAUUACUUGUAUGAAUAUUUAGUUUUGUACUUUGACUUUGGCUAUUGCUUGCCUUCGUGCGAGCCAUGUAUAUCUUUGUUUCGCUGUGUAGAAUUUAUAUAUACAUGAUUUAUACUUGUGUUGAGCCUUGGGCGAACAAAAGAGAUGCUGUCCGUUCGGCGUCUGUUCGACGUGCUCGAACCGACCAAAUAGGCCGGUCCUGGGGUGUGACCAACUAAUAUACUUGCUUUAGAUGAAGGUGAACAUGACAUAUUGCAUGUUAGUGACAACUGUGGUCUUAAGCAAGUUGCAUUAAAUUUAGUUGAAUAACUAAAGCUGAUCUUGUGAGGUUGCACUCAACUCCUAGGUCAGUAGAUAAAGAUUCCAUGUUAGACAUGAUGAAAGAGUUUCCUUAUAUUUUCAAGUAUAUAUAUCGAUGGCAUAUGCAUAUGAUUUCUUAAAUUUAUUGGAAAGUAAUGCUUGCAUGAUAACUUUUAUACUCCAUGUAGUAGAGGCUAUGUAGCAAGUCAUAUGCGUGAUAUGAACCAUCAUUUCGUUGACAUCUUUAUAGUUCAUUGAACAUGACAAUUGUGAGUUGAUCUUUUCAUACUAGUGGAAAUGGUGCAUGUUAUAACCACUUUAGGGUCUUGAAUGACAUAUGAUAUAUUGGUAGAGGCAUACCUCUAAGUUCAUUGGAAAUGAAAUAUGACAUUUAUGCAUAGUACUCGACCUUGAGUGGGGGGUUGGAAUUCCAUGUUUUAGACAUGAUGAUUUAGGCUGAUUGCCUUGGACAUGACAUAUAUGAUCACGCUUGCUUGCCAUUGUGCUCAUCGCACAAGCUUGUGAGGGUUGCUCCCUACAAGCCGGCACUUCGAAGUUAGCCUUUACGACAACAUGCUCGCCCGUGCGGAAUUGGGCGCCUAAGUGGAUUGCUGUGGGGGAGGCUAAUUCCUAGCUGGGGAAUGUUGACUACCACGAGCCAUUAGGCAUGGCACAAGCCGGGACUGUACCACGUGUAUGUCCCUUGUUGAUUGGGUAAAGUUAAUUAAAUUUGACACUAGUUAAUGCAUAUCUAAUAAAUGGACAUACUAGUGGGUUGUUACUUUAUGUUACUACUUGAUGCAUUCAUAGUAGUUAGACAUUCUUGUGGGACAUUGUUCCAUUGACAGCCUUAACGAUAGUAAGCCUACACUCAUGAUGUUUAAUAUAGAAAUGUAGUUCAUGAUGACACUAGCCAUUUGAAGUCAACGACAAUGUAAGACUUGUUCUAUAAUAACUGUUUAUAGCUUAAAGGUGGACUAGCAUUCAUAUUUUGCAUAUAUAAAUGAUUGUGCAUGUGACAAUAGGAAAUCAUAUACAUGUUAAUUGACAUAUCAUGUAGAGGUAUGACUAUUAUUGAAUUUGUUCAAUUAUUGUUAGCUCAUGUUUAAUACUUCUUGUAUUAUAUUCAUGCCUCAGUUGGUCUAGUGAUAUAUUUUGCCACUCUCGGCGGCUUACCUACUGGGAACUAUUGUUUAAUAGUUCUCAUCCCCAUUGGUUGAUUGUUUUUGUUUCAGAGAAUUCCGCAGCGGAAAAUGCCAGGGAUCGUGGCAAGGGGGCAGCGACUAGCUAGAGCGUCUCGAUAUUGUGAUAGAUGGACCCGUAGAAUUCUUUCUUUGAUUUAGUUUAAGGAUGUAUAAUUGUAUAUUAUGUGAGAUUCCUAGUAUUCUUGUUGUACCUCUUGAUUAGCUUAUUGUAAUCUUGAGAUGUAUUAGUUGUAGAAUUUUGUAUCUAGUUGUUUUAUAUUCUCGCUCUGAUUACCAUAUUUAGGAUGGAUCAUAUUUCUCUUUAUGAUUGUUGUAGACGCCAGGUGUACAUCGGGGAUGUUUGGUGUGCACAACGGGUCUGUGCGCGCACCUGAUGGGUUUCCGCUGUGGCCCGGGGCGUGACAAACGACCAAUGCGCAAUGUAAGUUGUUAUGCACUAAUGCCAAGGACUUCUUUCUUAGUGUUGUUUCCUAUGGUGACAUAAUGGCCGCCAGCAGCUACCCGAUGGUAAUCUACGUAUCCUGCUUGAUCUCUCGUUACAUGUUUUGUUGCUCAUGUGUUUACAAUCCAAUCAGACAGUGUGUCAGCAACAAAAACAUGUGAACAUACAUAAAUAAGAGUGUUAGAAUUAGCAUUUACUUUUUUCGGCUCAGUGCAAUCAUGAGCGAAGUGUCACGCCCCGGGACCGGCGGAGGCCCUCCCGGUAGCGUGCCCAGACCCGCCAUAUGUCUAUACAAAUAAGGCGUCUACAAUAAAAGCGAAAGUAAAAGCAAGUAAUGGUACAAAUAGAAUAGUAACAACUAAUGAUAUCAAAGCGAGUAAAGUUCUAUCAUCUACACCAAGGUAAAGAAACAAAGCUAGACAAUAAAAGAAACCAUAAGUAGUACACUAUCAGUCUCAAAAGUACAAAAAUGGUGGUCUCUAGUACACUGGUAAAACUCUCAACCUCUCGCAAAAAGAAAUAUAAAUCGAGAGGUAGACCACCUAGCAACUCGUCCUCGAAGGAAGCUAGCUCGAAGCAACUCCCUUCCCGCGAUCCCUGGCCUCACCCUGCGUGGAAGGCUCUGAAAAAUAUCGAGAAACAGAGGGCGUGAGAACUAUAAUUUAUAGUUCCCAGUGGGCAAUUACUGACCUCAGCUCAUUGCUCCACUAGGCCCCAAAAGAAAAAAAGAGGUAAAUCCAACAACGAUAGUAACGAGUAAAUUGCAUAUAUGAAAGCAUAAUUAAGAUGCUAAGCUAUAACUUGCAAUUAAACAUGGCAUUUAUAAUGCAGCUUUACCUUGUCAUGGGUAAAAUAUAUCUAUAUGUCCCCAAGUAAUAUCAUGGUCUACUUUAUACAGAUAUGAAAGUGAUACUUUGUCAUGACUACAAUGCAUGUAAGGAUGUAAUAAACAACAUCUCCUAGCAUACUACAUGUAUGUAUGAAUACCCAAAUGUCCACAUCUAUGCUAGAAGCAAGCCCAAGUAAUCCAACUACUACUCUCUGUCUAGUAGUGAUUAUCACGCACUCAACAUUGUCUCGGUUUCCAUUUCCAAUUAGGGACCUACCAAAGGUAGUCCAGCUUGUGCCGCCUAAGUGCUGUGGUACCCCGACAUCCCUACUCUUGGAAUGUGUCUGUCCCACUCGACCCCGUAGGUUUUUCAAUACCGCACGAGCGAACAUAAGUCACGUAGGCUAACUCCGGAGUGCCGGCUUGUAGGGAGCGACCCUCACAAGCAUGUGCGAAUGAGCACAAAUGGCAAGCAAGCGUAGUCCAAGUCUCAAGUGUCCAAUCCUCAUGUCUCUAACAUGGUAUCAUAACUAGCAUUCCGAAGAUCUAGUCUAAGUCACAAGAUGAAGUUCCAACAUUCAUUACGCCUAGUGUCCCUUGAUGACACUUAGACAAUCUAAUGUUCAACAUAUACCCAAUCCCUCAAUGGCUCUAACCACUAGGUUCACACAUGUCCCGAGCUCAAUGCCGCUUGACGACAUUAGCUCUCAAAUUCACAUACAUUCUAGUUCGAUAGCUCUAUAUGGCAAUUUUGUCAACUUUCAUGUCUCAAAUAAACUUAGGUUUAAAUGCAUGAAUCCAAUCUCAUUUACACUAUAGGAGCAUGAAACCACGUCUCAUAUAGAAUGCUAAAUGCAACUAUAGGCCUACCAAGCUACUUUCUACUAUAUAGAGGUCCAAAAUUUCAUCAUAUAUAACAUAGACCUUUUAAGCAUUCUAAAAUUCACAAUAAAUACAUAUAACAAGAAUAUGCAUGCUUUUUCAUUUAACGAUACUUAAUUAAGCACAAAUGAGAAUUUCUCAUUGUGUGGCUAGGUCAAACCCACCGAACCGUCGCGUAGGGCCUCGUUUCGCCGAACAAAGUUGUCCCCGAGUCUCAAAAUACCCUAAAAGGAUUGAGCGAAAAGAUUCACGGGCAUUACGAUCAACUAUAAGAUCAAACUUUAACAAAUUUAGCAAAAGGGCUAAAACUCAGCCAAUGCGUGGAAAAUCUCUCUCAAGCUCCAAAAGAGAGCUAAAUCCCGUCCAAUCCAAGCCCAAGGAAGGUUCUAAUCCAACCAAUUUAGGUCCAAAAGCCCUAGAUAAAAAAUGCCCAAAUAUAAGCCCUAAAACCUCAUGUAGGGUUUCAUCUCAAAGAAACCUCCAAAAUUCAAAUCUAGAGGAAAAGAUCUAGUCACUUACCUCUAGGAAGCUUCAAACCAAGCUCAAAGUCCUCAAACUUCAAAGAUCAACCCUCAACCAAGCAUAAACCCAAGCUCUAAUGGUGGGAAAAGCCUCCAACACCCAAAAAGGAGCAAAAAGAGAGGCUUUAAUCUCUCUAAAGCCAAAUAAAACCAAAGGAAUCAAAGGGGAGAGUGUGGAGGGCUCCCUUACCUCUUCUCUUGCUGGUCCCAAGCUCAGGGAGAGCCCUAGGGGCGUGGAGGUACUAAUAGAGAUGCCACAAUCGCGAAAAACCCCCUGCAGUUCAAACUGCUCAGAAUCUGCCAAAGUGUACCGGUACACGGGAAAGUGUACCGGUACACAUCCUACGAAAAUGCAAACCCGAGGCUCGGGUUUGAAAUUCGCCACAAGUGUACCGGUACAACCAUCAAAAGUGUACCGGUACAAAAUGUGUACCGGUACAGCCAUCGACGUGUCACCGGUUACACCUCGUGCAGAAUGCAAUCCGAGGGUAGGCUAAGUCCAACUCUUUAGUGACCUUAGCGCUACAUAAAAUACUACAAUUCUCGGUAUGCGAGCCAUAGGUCGGAACACUGUCAACGACCCACCAGAAAGUCUGGAAAAACUCGGGACACUGUCCAAACACUCGAACCUCGCAAUUUGCAAAAGUCCAGUGCGUCACAUUCACCCCUCCUAAAAAGGAGUUUCGUCCGCGAAACUCGAAAGCAAACGCCGUACCUCAAGACUCCAUCUGAAAAAGAUGGGGAUAGCGCUCCUGGAGCGCGCUCUCUAGCUCCCAAGUGGCCUCGCGCUCGUCGUGGUUGCUCCAAAGCACCUUCACGUAGGGGAUUUCCCGGUUCCGCAAUUUUUUUACCUCGCGAGCCAAAAUCCUCAAAAGUUGCUCCUCAAAGCUCAAAUCCUCCCGCAGCUCCAUAGGUGUAGCAUCCAACACAUGAGCCGGGUCGUGAAUGUACUUCUGAAGGACCGAUACAUGGAAUACAUUGUGUACACCCGAUAGGUUUGGCGGUAGAGCGAGUCGAUACGCUAACGGGCCUACACGCUCCAAAACCUCGAACGGUUCAAUGAAUCGGGGGCACAACUUACCCCAGAUUCCAAACCUUUUGAUCCCUCGAGUCGGCGAGACUUUUAAGAACACAUGGUCUUCAAUCUGAAACUCCAAGUCUCGUCAACGCCGAUCAGCAUAACUUCUCUGCCUACUCUGGGCUGUCAACAAUCGCUCCCGAGCAAUGCGAACCCUGUUCUCUGCUUCCUGGAGCACAUCAAUGCCUAAAGCCAAUCUCUCGCCAACUUCACCCCAAUGAAGUGGCUAUCUACACUUCCGUCCAUAGAGUGCCUCGAACGGUGCCAUCUUGAUGCUUGCUUGAUAACUGUUGUUAUAAGCAAACUCUGCCAUCGGUAGAUGCUGCGACCAUCCUCCCUGGAAGUCAAUCACGCAGGCUCGAAGCAUGUCCUCGAGGGUCUGUAUCGUACGCUCCGACUGCCCGUCACUCUGGGGGUGGAAAGCAGUGCUGAAAUCCAACCGCGUACCCAAAGCGUCCUGUAAGCUCCUCCAAAAGUGGGAUACAAAAUGGGGAUCUCGAUCCGAUACUAUAGAAGUAGGUACCCCAUGUAGUCGCACUAUCUCAUCCAAAUAAACCUGUGCGAGUUUCUCACCAGUCCAAGUAGUGUGGAUAGGUAUGAAAUGUGCCGAUUUCGUCAACAUAUCCACAAUCACCCAAAUAGCGUCAUGCCCGGCCUGUGAGCGAGGCAAUCCUAUCACGAAAUCCAUGGUGAUCUUUUUCCACUUCCACACUGGAAUCGGUAGGCUCUGCAACUUCCCUGCGGGAACUCGGUGCUCAGCCUUCACCUGUUGGCAAGUCAAACAUCUAGCAACAAACUCACCAACAUCCUUUUUCAUCCCGGGCCACCAGUAAAGCAACUUCAAGUCCUUAUACAUCUUGGUGCCUCCCGGGUGUAUAGCAUACGGUGCUCGGUGUGCUUCUUGAAGAAUGUCCUCUUUAAUGCCCGAGUCCGCCGGCACACAAAGUCGUCCACGAAAACGCAUCAAUCCAUCACCGUCUAAAGCGAAGUCACCGGUGCAACCAUCAACCAUUUUAGUUUGAAUCUUUUGCAAUUCUAUAUCGAAAACUUGCUUUUCUUUAAUCCUUUCCAUAAGAGUAGGUUGCACCACCAAAGUCAUCAGCCUCAAAGGUGUAUCAGGAGCCACCACCUCCAGCUCCAACCGCUUCAUCUGCUCGAUCAACGGCGGUUGAGUAACCAUAAGCAUCGCUAAGUUCUUCGUCGAUUUCCGACUUAGUGCAUCCGCCACCACGUUAGCCUUGCCCGGGUGGUAAAGUAUCGUCAAAUCAUAAUCCUUGAGUAGCUCCAACCAUCUGCGCUGAUUCAAGUUCAACUCCUUCUGAGUGAAAAGAUACUUUAAGUUCUUGUGAUCUGUAUAUACUUCACACCGCUCGCCAUAAAGGUAGUGGCGCCAUAACUUCAAUGCGAAGACUACGGCCGCCAACUCUAAGUCGUGAGUGGGGUAAUUCCUUUCAUAUUCCUUCAAUUGGCGAGAUGCAUACGCGAUCACUUUCCCGUCCUGCAUUAAGACACAGCCCAAUCUAUUAAAGGAAGCAUCACUAUAAAUCACAUACCCUGCUCCAGCAGUUGGCAAGGUUAGGAUCGGGGCGGUCGUCAAUCGCUGCUGCAACUCUUGGAAGCUCCUUUCACACGCAUCAUUCCAAAUGAACUUGGUGCCCUUAUGCGUGAGCCUCGUGAGGGGAGUAGAUAACUUUGCAAAUCCCUCAACAAACCGUCGGUAGUAGCCGGCCAAACCAAUAAAGCUCCGAAUCUCGGUCACGCUCGUCGGCCUCGGCCAAUCCUUGAUAGCCUCAAUUUUCCUCGGGUCCACGGCUAUGCCUGAUCCAGAAAUCACAUGGCCCAAAAACGCCACCUCUCUAAGCCAAAAUUCACACUUUUUCAACUUGGCAUAGAGCUUCUUUUCCCGAAGCACUUGAAGUACAAGUCUCAAGUGCUCCUCGUGAUCCGCGUCACUCCGGGAAUAUACUAAGAUGUCGUCGAUGAACACCACGACAAAUCUGUCUAAAUAAGGCUUGAAAACACGGUUCAUCAGAUCCAUAAAAGCUGCCGGGGCAUUGGUAAGCCCGAACGGCAUAACAGUAAACUCAUAGUGUCCAUACCGUGUUCUAAAAGCCGUCUUCGACACAUCCUCAGGUCUGAUCCUCAACUGGUGAUAUCCCGACUGUAAGUCAAUCUUGGAAUAUACACAAGACCCCUGGAGCUGGUCAAAUAGAUCAUCAAUC
RNAcentral lists this long non-coding RNA (33688 nucleotides) under Ananas comosus (pineapple). RNAcentral's name for it is "long non-coding RNA (ACOM_LNC035206)". Lineage: Eukaryota; Viridiplantae; Streptophyta; Magnoliopsida; Poales; Bromeliaceae. The record is from RNAcentral.